Cajanus cajan (pigeon pea) is the source of this 618-nucleotide non-coding RNA. Lineage: Eukaryota; Viridiplantae; Streptophyta; Magnoliopsida; Fabales; Fabaceae. The record is from RefSeq and is a predicted model, not a curated record.
CCCUCUGAAAUACUCAAACGCACUCUGGAACGCUCCCUCUCGCACACUGUUAAACGCUCCUUCUCACACACUCUGGAACACUCACUCUCCCACACUCUGAGACCCAAACCCUCUCAACACUCUCAAACCUAAAACACUCUCUACAUUCUAGGCUCGUUCAUCUUCAACAACCCUCCAAGGAAGCAUUGAAGCCUUAUUCGACGAACGACAACGUAGUGAAGCCAUUUUAGGGUGUGGAGGCACUCCCGGAGGAGGUUUCCGGAAAUGCAGUCGUCCUAUUGUGUGAGUCCGUUGCGAAGGUUCACGAUGAGAGGGAAUUUGAUCGUGUUCUUGCAAUAGAGGGGAUUGAGCUUAUUGGCAUUAACAACCGCAAUCUUGGUGAUGAUCAACAUGAUGCUGGAGAUGUCAGUGAUGAGGCUUAGGCUUCAUGUUGGAUUACUCUAAUAGAACAUAUGACAUCGGGACGUAAUUAGGACUAAAUUAGGAUUUUGUUUCUAUUGGUUCAUUUGGAAAACAUCAAUUUUUAGUUUCUUUGUAAAUCUUUUAGUUAUGUUAUGUUAUUUGUUUAUGAUAUAAUGUGAUCCUUUCUAUUUGUAUGGAUUUUGAAUUUAUUUAUUU